GUUGUCUACAUAUGAGCUAAUAAAUAUUUACUAUUGUAUCUAUAGUUUUUCUUUUAUUAAACCGUGAUUAUUGAGACACUCUGUAUAAGUCACUCGACUUGUUUACCGUCGACCCGAUCCCCCGCGUCACCGCGCCACACCGUCACCGCGCCGCACCGUCUACGCCCUCUACCGGGGGGGCCUACGACGGUCGGAGCGCGCGACAUCUAGCAGCGACGGGCGGAACCGGGGCAAAACAGGACGCUACACAAGCUGGGUGGGGGGCGGAGCGCACUCUGGUAGCCAGGGGGGACACUAGGUCGCCACGCGCGGGGGGCCCCCGCUGCGGGGGGGUUAGGAAAUUGAGGUUAUGUACGGUUUUUGUUGCUUAUAUCGGCACUGUAAUCUACUAACAUUAUUUUAAAUAGUACAAGAACAAUAAACUGCCAUUAUUCCGAAGUUCCAUCGACCUUGAUAUCUGCGUUCCAUUUCUUUAAUAUCUUGGUGAGACCUUCGACGGCAGCAAGAUUUUCGGGAUAGUAGUGCAGAUGUGCAGAAAAACUGGUGGUAAUUUCUUCUAAAUUGGUUGGAUUCACAGGUAUUAGGACAUCUGGAUUAUGUGGCACUGGCCUAGUCAGCAAGGUGAUUUGUUGGGUUUCUCCAUAUCAUAGAUCCAAAAUGUAGGAAUCGUCUGGUUCCAUUAUUCCAAUUAUUCCAACACAUUUUUCCCAUACCUUACAAACAAUACGUAGGGUCCAAGGUAUGUCUUGACAGGAGUCAAAUUUUAUGUCUACAUUUCUUGAACACAAAAGAACCACAGCAAAACGUAUCUGGAAUAUUUUUUGUCUUGUCUUGUCUUGGUAUUUUGAAAAGAAAUUUAACUGCACACUAACUCACUACAAGAAACGCACUUUCUUCAAGACAUGCCGCCACUACCCGACGCAUCCCAGAAACCAUAGUUUACUUUCGGGCAUUCCCCGCAAAUGUUCUGUUAAUAAUGCCAGUAGCAUAGCAAUUUUUAGAAUGUUAUGUAAUGUUCCUAUUUUAAAACGAUAAAUAUGACAUCUAGUUAAUUAAAAAUGUUGCGUGGUAGAAAUAAAAAAAA
Cylas formicarius (sweet potato weevil) is the source of this 1084-nucleotide long non-coding RNA. RefSeq lists it as uncharacterized. The record is from RefSeq and is a predicted model, not a curated record. The transcript is spliced from 2 exons. Lineage: Eukaryota; Metazoa; Arthropoda; Insecta; Coleoptera; Brentidae.